GCGGGUGUAGUUCAAGGGCAGAACGGCAGCUUCCCAAGCUUCAUACGAGGGUUCGAUUCCCUUCACCCGCUCCA
This 74-nucleotide transfer RNA is filed under the name Burkholderiales bacterium. RNAcentral's name for it is "tRNA-Gly". It matches the Rfam family "tRNA". From Rfam's summary of the family: Transfer RNA (tRNA) molecules are approximately 80 nucleotides in length. Their secondary structure includes four short double-helical elements and three loops (D, anti-codon, and T loops). Further hydrogen bonds mediate the characteristic L-shaped molecular structure. tRNAs have two regions of fundamental functional importance: the anti-codon, which is responsible for specific mRNA codon recognition, and the 3' end, to which the tRNAs corresponding amino acid is attached (by aminoacyl-tRNA synthetases). tRNAs cope with the degeneracy of the genetic code in two manners: having more than one tRNA (with a specific anti-codon) for a particular amino acid; and 'wobble' base-pairing, i.e. permitting non-standard base-pairing at the 3rd anti-codon position. The record is from RNAcentral. Lineage: Bacteria; Pseudomonadati; Pseudomonadota; Betaproteobacteria; Burkholderiales.